This 367-nucleotide unclassified non-coding RNA is filed under the name uncultured fungus. Its description in RNAcentral is "partial contains 5.8S ribosomal RNA and internal transcribed spacer 2". The stretch from base 1 to 133 matches the Rfam family "5.8S ribosomal RNA", at positions 22 to 154 of the family's 154-position model. The record is from RNAcentral. Lineage: Eukaryota; Fungi.
UGGCUCUCGCAUCGAUGAAGAACGCAGCGAAAUGCGAUAAGUAAUGUGAAUUGCAGAAUUCAGUGAAUCAUCGAAUCUUUGAACGCACCUUGCGCUCCAUGGCAUUCCAUGGAGCAUGCCUGUUUGAGUGUCACGUGAAACCAUCACUCUUGUUCCUGUCGCAAGACAGGCCAAGAUGUGGACUUGGACUGUGCCGUAGUCGGCUCGUCUUGAAAUUCAUUAGCCGCUGCUGGUUAGAUUCGGCCACCUGGUGUGAUAUAUGUCUACGCCUGCCGUGUCGUUUCUUCCUGAGCGUGGCUUAUAAUCGUCGCUCGUUUCGACAACUUCAUAACGCUCUGGCCUCAAAUCAGGUAGGACUACCCGCUGA